This 73-nucleotide transfer RNA is filed under the name Schistosoma mansoni. It matches the Rfam family "tRNA". From Rfam's summary of the family: Transfer RNA (tRNA) molecules are approximately 80 nucleotides in length. Their secondary structure includes four short double-helical elements and three loops (D, anti-codon, and T loops). The record is from Rfam by way of RNAcentral. Lineage: Eukaryota; Metazoa; Platyhelminthes; Trematoda; Strigeidida; Schistosomatidae.
UCCGGAGUAGCUCAGUUGGGAGAGCGUUAGACUGAAGAUCUAAAUGUCCCCGGUUCGAUCCCGGGUUCCGGCA